This 3153-nucleotide long non-coding RNA is filed under the name Equus asinus (donkey). Its description in RNAcentral is "lncRNA (ENSEASG00005029076.1)". The record is from RNAcentral. Lineage: Eukaryota; Metazoa; Chordata; Mammalia; Perissodactyla; Equidae.
CUUGACUUGAAAAAUACUUGAAGGUUAACCAAACUUUAAGGGUUAAAAACAAAACAACUAAAAUUUUUUAAACUUUUGAAAAGGACACUCGUUGAUAAUGUAAGAAAAAAAUUAAUGUAGCAUAAAGAUAAAUAUUAACCUUCUAAUGCUUUACAAUGGGUUGGGGCUUUACAUUGCUAAAUAUAAUCAUGCUGAAGGCUAUUUUUCAAGAAAAAUUUGCUAAACUGAUUUUGAAUAAUGGCCUUGAUUUAUAGGUUCCUAGAUAAGAAGAAACAGGAGACACACAAAAUUUUUGCCUACUUUCAAGUCUUUAAACAUUUGGUUUAUGUACAUACUGUUUAUAAAAUAUACUUUUGAAAGUUUAUAACUUAUCUCUAUCAAGAUGACUUUUUGAACAAUAGACUUAUUUAAUAAUAUAAUUUAAAAAUGGAACUACAUUUUCUUGCUGAUUUUACCACCAUGUAAAAAAUGUUAUCACAGUAUUGUAGUUUAUAUAAAACCAGGAUUUAAUUUCUGGUUAAAAAUGAUUUCAAAUUUAUAAAUUGCAUACAUCGGGUUCAUGGGUCAGCUAAGUUAAUAUUUCCCCAAAUGACUAUAUACACUCAGUUCAGCAUCUUGAUGUGAAUUAUCCUCCAUUCCAUCUCUGCUCUUUAUCUCAGCUUCCUGAUUGCUCACCCCCUUCCCAGUACCAGCCCUUCUCACACAUUUUUCUCUCUUUAUAAUGCUCUUCCCAGCACUCAACACUUAGUAAAACACUGAAGAAUAUUCAUUCUAGACAUAAAAAGAUAUAUUCUCAGGGAAUUUUCCAGAGCCUUCAGACUAGAUCAAGUCCACUGGUUGUAUUUUCUCAUAUUCAUCCAAACUUGACCUUCUAGCAUUUACAGUAAUUUAAAUUUUGUAAUAAUUUGUAUAGAUGUAUGCUUAUAGAAUAUGUACUGGCUAAACUAUCUUUUUUGGUUAACUAAAUUUACGAUGCCACCAAUUAUGAAAGAGACCCUUAUAGAAAGUGUCUUCAUGAUAGUUUUGUAUGAUGAGGGAAUCAGUCACACAGUCUCUUCUUACUUUCAAACUGCUUACAUUCCCAGGGAAGUCGGGUAAUUUUUCCUACCUCAUUUGUCUCACUCAACUAAAGUACUAGGGCUAGGAUCAGUCCUGUGCAAGCAGUAAAAUCUACUUCACAGCUGCUGCAUAGCCAGCAACAAUAUGUGAUGAUAUGCAGUAUAUGGUGUCUCCCAAUCCCAGAGUUGUCAGAAUGAAGAGAAAUGUGUGUCCUACUAUCACUGAAAUAUGUCACAACCUCUGGGAGGGCUGGGCUACUGGGUCCAUCCAAGUUAUUACACCACUGAAUUCCCUAAGAGUCCCUGCUCCAUAGUGGAGGCUUAGCCUUCCGUAAUGGAUAAAUGGACUUAUGAAUAUUUUUCAGAGAACACAAACCACCAGAACUUGUGACAAAUUUAGAGGAAACUACCUUUCCCCCCAGCAGGGAAAAUAGAGCUUGUGAUACCGAACCUGAAGUGAGUUCACUCACAUGUUGUACAGCAAGCCAAUCUCUGACACAAGGCAUAGUGGAAGAAAGUAGGAAUUUUAUUAUUGCACAGUGCUGAGCAAGGAGAGAGGGCAGCUAACGCUGAAAUCCCAAACAACUCACCGAAAAGGUAAAAGGAAGAGUUUUUGCUUGGGGAUUCAGGUAGGGGAGGGGGAGCAUAUGGCCUUGCUCCCUCCUCUCUGCAAGUAGUCUCAAGGCCAAAGACAGGCUGGUGGGAAAGCUCCGACCAGCAAGGCCAUAUGCUCCCCCUCCCCUACCUGAAACCCCAAAUAAAAACCCUUCCUUUUAGCUUUUGGGGAGUUUAGGAUUUCAGCGUUAGCUGCCCUUUCUCCUUGCUCAGUGCUGUGCGAUGAUAAAAUUCCUACUUUUUUCCACUACGCCCAGUGUCAGAGAUUGGCUUGCUGCACAACAGGUGAGCGAACUCACUUCAGGGUCAAUAUCACUAACUUUUAGUCAAGAGAAAGGGGAAGGGAAGAGAAUAAAGAAAGAAGAAAUAGGAGGAGAAUUCAGACUUAAAAAGGGAUGUGAUCAAGGAGAGUCUCUGGCAGCCUGUGGAAGUAAUUGGGUUUGUACAGGGUCGGGUGAGGUAGAUACAGCACACUCUGCAUCACACAGGAAAUACUCCUGACUUCAUGUGAAAGGCUUUUUAGGGUCUCACUUCCAAAACCAGCAACAGAGUAGCCUUCCCAUAUCUCAUCUAUUCCUCAAGUUUCUGAUUACCCCAUGUCUUGGUAAAAAGGAGAGGAUAUCCACCUCUGAUACCACGAUGGUGAGCCUGUGGUGACAAGGUGAGUCUGUCAUGUGAUCUCGAUGAGGCACGGAGCCUUGAGUGAUGGUUUUAUUACUCCCUUAUCCCCUUCCUACCAGACCAAUGAUUUCCAAGUCAUCUAUGAAUGCGUGACAGCAUCUGCAUAGAGGAUUAAGAAUAACUUAAACACUAUUGCCCCGACUAAUUGUCAUUAAAAACAAGUUCAAAGUAUAUGACAAUAUCCAAAGAAGCAAUUAGGAGUAUGUGGGAGAGAAACUUUUCUGCAAGUCCUUCAAGUGCUCAGGAUAUCAUGGAGAGGGGAGCAGAAAGCAUGGAAAUGAUGACUAAGAGUAGAAGCCAUUUGUGAGGGUCUGUCUGGAUUUGGGUCAACCCAUAGGGCUUUCUCCAGCACCUAAUUCCCUGAGAGACUUCAUAACUCUGAGGAACGUCAGUAUUAAGGGGCACAGAAGAGGGGAAUCCAUAGAUCAUUUGUGUCUACCUUUAUUCAAGCAAUAUUUUCUAAAAGAUUCAUUCAUGUUUUGUGCGUAGUUGUAGUUUAUUCAUUUUCAUGCUGUGGGGAGUUUCAUUGUAUGCAUACACCACAAUUUACACAUCCAUUCAACAGCUGAUGGACAGCUGGUGGGUGGUUUCCUAUUUGGCACUUUUAUGAACAAGGGUGCUUUGGCCUUUCUCGUAAGUGUAUCCUGGUGCACACAUGCGUUCUUUCUAAGGUAUAGAUCUAAGAGUAGGAUCACUGGGUUACGGGGCAUUUGUUUCUCUACAUAAUGCCAAACAGUUUUCCAAAAUGCUUAUAACAAUUUACACUCUCAGCAGCAAUAUGUGAGAGUUUCCAUUAAUC